GGGCAGACACACUGAAGUCGCUAGACAUUUGAGGAACACAUCCGGGGAAGAAGACACAGGUGGCUGGUCAUGGAGAGCCCGCUGGGGGAAGAGCACACAGACAGGCACCGGCAGGCCAUUGACCAGCGGGACAAGGUGGAGUUUGGCUGGGGCAGUGGGAGGAGAGCUGGGGCCGCCGAGCUGCCCUACUCCAGGGGAAAACCACCUCCCUUCUCGCUCCCCCAUCACCGGAGAGCUACUUCCACUCAAUACAACUUUGCACUCAUUCUCCAAGCCACGUGUGACCAAUUUUUCCGGUACACCAAGGCGAGAAAUCCGGGGAUACAGAAAGCCCUCUGUCCUUGCGAUAAGGUAGAGGGUCCAAUUGAGCUAACACAAGCUGCCUAUAGACGGCAAACUAAGAGAGCACCCAGUAACACACGCCUGCUGGGGCUUCAGGAGCACACACGUCCACUGGGGCUUCGGGAGCUGUAAACAGUCAGCCCUAGACACUGUCGUGGGAUCGGAGCCCCACAGCCUGCCUGUCUGUAUGCUCCUCUAGAGGUCUGAGCAGCGGGGCGCUGAAGAAACGAGCCACACUCCCAUCACACGCCCUGAGAGGAGGACAAGGGAACCCGUACCGUUUCACUUGUGAUAGAGAUAAAGUUAUUAUUGUUGUAAUUUUAACUUAUAGAACUAUAAUAUAAUGGUACAAUGAUAUAUAUUGACAAUAUUCCUCUUUCACCCACAUUUUGUAUCUGUGUUCAAGAUUAAAUGAAAAAGGAUAUUCUCAAAAAGCUAGCAAAACCAAAAGCAAGACGUUAUGCCAAAUGUAAACAUAUUUCUGUUUAGCAAAUAGCAGGAGUGUAUAAAACAUUUCUCUUUUCACAUAACAGAAUGUUCUAUGCUUACUGUAUUAGUUAACAAAUUCAAGUCUGUUUAUUUUGUUUGAAAUUCCACUUCAUCCAUAAAUUACAGCAUUACACAAUAACACCAGAAGGACAAUAUCACCAUUGUUUGCUUUUACAGUCAUCUCAGCCCACAAAAUGCUUCCCAUUGUCAGCUUGCUAUCAUCAAGCUAUUGUUGUUUUCCUCUUUCUGGGGUCUUGUAUUAAUAUCAUUCAAAUUAUUUAGACACUCAACAGUGUUUUUGCUAUCAGUGCAAACCUCUAAAGAGCUGGAGCCCCAGCGUGAUGACCAAAUAACCCUUGACUAUUUAUCUUGCCGUAAGUCAUUAUUUCCUGAGGCCCUGGAGAAGCUGUGUUGCCAUGUGUGCACUGCAGGGACGGGGAGCUUCUCCUGCCGGAGCUGGUUUGUUCCACUGGACAAUGAGCCCUUUUCUGCUUGGCUCUCUGUAUGGGCACAUACACAAUGAGGCGGUUUAGGGAAGAGGGGUGAUGUGGGUCAUUGAUAACAACAAUCCCCGAACUUCUUAAAGAAUUGUUGAGCCCCCUAAAAAUAUGUUGUCUUUAUGAAUUAUCCUUAACCCUUUUUAAUUGCAUAAAAACUUCAGGCACUUGAAAAAAAUUAAAAAACGAAAAGUAAGUCUGUCUCUAGUAUCCCUCUUCUCCUUUGUAGAAUUACAUCCUUUAUUCACUCUGCCACUAUUUAUUAUGUGCCUCCUGUGUGUAAGACAUACUGUUAGUCAUUGGAAAUACAGAAAUGAAUGGGACAGACACACUUCUUGCCCUCAUGGAACUUAGGGCCUAAUGGGAGAUACAAUGUUAAGGUUGUUUCUAGUGUUUUUUUUUUUUUUUAAGAAUAUGUUCUACAUGUAUACAUGUAAUAUGUAUUCUCUCCCAUUUUUAAAAAACAUAAAUGGUGGUUUACUAUGUGUACGCUUUUUGGUUUUGCAUUAUUCUUUUAACAGUAUGUAGAGGAUGCAUUUUCUACUGUAUAGUGUUCUGUCCCCCUUAAAUAGCACUCUGAUUUUAUUUUGGGGGGGAAUCACGACUUUCUAAUUUUGCAUACUCCUUGUGGGAUUGUAAAUCAGGUCCCCUGUCCUCAAGUAGCCAAUGGUUAGGUAUGCAACCCAGCUUAUCUCUCUUUAGACUCAAUCUCAAGCAGAUCCAGAGUUACUCAGGAUCAGAACAAUAUUUGAAAGGCAUUACCAGAAUCCAGACAAGAUGAUGGAGCAAUACCUGAUGCCCAGUGGUCUAGGGUAGCCGAUUCCUGUUCUGCUCUCCAGGCUCCUGUCCAUUCUGUGGAUCAACUCAUAUUGCUCCAAUUCAUUUUGUUUUGCUUGCAUAAGCCAGAAUUAACUUCUGUUGCUUGUAAACAAAGAGAGUUAACCAAAGACAUACAGUAUAUCAGAGUAUAGAGACCUACUUUACUCUCGGUCAUUGCCUGCAUGAGUCUUCUUUAUAUGGAUGUAUCACAGUUUAUUUAACCACUCCCUUGUAAGUGGACAUUUAAGUCUAGUGUUCUGUAAAUAAAAGGUCAGAAUAUACGUCUGUAUACAGUAUAUAUUCUUGCAUAUCCACCUUUGGACAGAUGUGUGAAUGUGUUUUGUAGAAAUACAUUUGUAGAAAUGCAACUGCUGGGUCAAAGAAUUAGUAGAUUUUUAAUAACAUCAAACAGCGUUGAAGGCCCCCAUAUAAGAAUAACAACUACUGACUGAAGACAUAACUAAUUAAAAAAAUUAAUUACAGCUUAUUUGUAAUAACUUCUUAUUGUCACUGAGUGAAAAGGUAAUUCUCGUUGAAUUUACGAAAAGUGACUAAUAGGAAAUUUAGAAAACUCAGAGAAUAUAUAAAAACACAAAGAAAAGCCAGCCACCAAGUCGCUUAUAAUUCUCUCACCAACAGUGGCAGAAUUACAUUUAGUCAUCAUCAUUAUUCUUACAUCCAGUUUUAUAGUUAUUUUUGAAGAGGAUUAUUAUCAACUAUCAACUCUGUCAUAGCUGGAAGUAGAGGCCACUAAAACAGAUUUCUUAAACUCCAAGUACUGUAUAUGGAUUUUCUACUUUUUUUUGUUUUUGAUUACUAAUUUAGUUGCUAGAGGUCAGAGAACAUACUCUAUAUGGUUCCAACCUCUUGAAAUUUAUUAGGAGUUACUUCAUGGCCUGUUAUCAAUUGUGGUUACAUUUUACAUGUGCCUGUGAAGAAUGUGCCUUAUCUAGUUUGGGACAGUAUUCUAUGUACUUGCUUUGAAUUGGGUUUGCUAGUUGUGUUCUUCAGAUCUUUUACAUCUAUACUGAUUUUGUUCAGUUGGCCUGAUAGUAGCAGAGAAAUAGAUGUUAAAAUAUCCUACUAUGAUUGUGGAUUUACCUACUACUUGUUAUAAUUCUGUUAAUUUUUGAUUCAUGUAUUUUGAGGUUAUGUUGUUAGGUG
This 3311-nucleotide long non-coding RNA is filed under the name Homo sapiens (human). Its description in RNAcentral is "non-protein coding SAMMSON:6". Lineage: Eukaryota; Metazoa; Chordata; Mammalia; Primates; Hominidae. The record is from RNAcentral.